UAAGCGUGCGCAGGCGGUUAUGUAAGACAGAUGUGAAAUCCCCGGGCUCAACCUGGGAACUGCAUUUGUGACUGCAUGGCUAGAGUACGGUAGAGGGGGAUGGAAUUCCGCGUGUAGCAGUGAAAUGCGUAGAUAUGCGGAGGAACACCGAUGGCGAAGGCAAUCCCCUGGACCUGUACUGACGCUCAUGCACGAAAGCGUGGGGAGCAAACAGGAUUAGAUACCCUAGU
RNAcentral lists this ribosomal RNA (230 nucleotides) under uncultured bacterium. RNAcentral describes it as "partial 16S ribosomal RNA". It matches the Rfam family "Bacterial small subunit ribosomal RNA", at positions 563 to 791 of the family's 1533-position model. The record is from RNAcentral.